This 74-nucleotide microRNA precursor is filed under the name Myotis brandtii (Brandt's bat). RNAcentral describes it as "mir-9193 microRNA precursor family". It matches the Rfam family "mir-9193 microRNA precursor family". Lineage: Eukaryota; Metazoa; Chordata; Mammalia; Chiroptera; Vespertilionidae. The record is from Rfam by way of RNAcentral.
ACUGGGGAGGGGGGGUCCCUCAGCUCAGAUUGCGAGAGGGUGCAGGCCAGGCCAAGGGACCCCACUGGUGCUCA